Long non-coding RNA from Condylura cristata (star-nosed mole), 501 nucleotides. RefSeq lists it as uncharacterized. The transcript has 3 exons. The record is from RefSeq and is a predicted model, not a curated record. NCBI's taxonomy places the organism in Eukaryota, Metazoa, Chordata, Mammalia, Eulipotyphla, Talpidae.
CGCGCCUGCUCCUCAGUCCCCGCGGGACCCCGGCGUCUGGGGUCCGAAAGCCGGUUGGGAAAUUCUGACAGCUGUCGGGAAUGAGGUUGUUGAAUUCAUUGGGGAGCAAGUGCUGUCCAGAACUUGUGAGGAAAAUGAGACCCAGAGAAGUGGAGUGGCUGCCUUCAGUCUCACCCUUGGGUCAGAGAGAACUGCAGCUAAGAAGAAGCCCUGUUUGCAGCUCCACACUGAAGAAGAGUAUGCACGCUGCCCAGUCCCUGCGUCAUUAUUCUAUUUGUGCGUGCAGAGCAUAGCAUCUGUCUCUUUCCGGCACAGCCCCCGGGCAGAGGAUCUGUACCUGAAGAGCUAACCUGAGGAGCUUCACCCAGUCCAUCACACGCUGAGCAGGGCCCUACCUCUUGAGCCUGGAUCUGAUGUCAUGUUAGAUGAUAUUCUUGGAAGGUUGAAUGUGGUUAGCAUUAGGAAGAAUGUAAAUUUGAAAUAUAAAUAACUGUGUCCAGA